GUUUCCGUAGUGUGUUGUUUAUCACGUUUGCCUAACACGCAAAAGGUCCCCAGUUCGAAACUGGGCGGAAACA
This 73-nucleotide transfer RNA is filed under the name Danionella translucida. It matches the Rfam family "tRNA". From Rfam's summary of the family: Transfer RNA (tRNA) molecules are approximately 80 nucleotides in length. Their secondary structure includes four short double-helical elements and three loops (D, anti-codon, and T loops). RNAcentral also lists the same sequence under 1 other name. Lineage: Eukaryota; Metazoa; Chordata; Actinopteri; Cypriniformes; Danionidae. The record is from Rfam by way of RNAcentral.